This 286-nucleotide ribosomal RNA is filed under the name uncultured Methylomirabilota bacterium. RNAcentral's name for it is "uncultured candidate division NC10 bacterium partial 16S ribosomal RNA". It matches the Rfam family "Bacterial small subunit ribosomal RNA", at positions 1060 to 1345 of the family's 1533-position model. The record is from RNAcentral. Lineage: Bacteria; Methylomirabilota (SeqCode).
UCGUGUCGUGAGAUGUUGGGUUAAGUCCCGCAACGAGCGCAACCCUCACCUCUUGUUGCCAACAGGUCAUGCUGGGCACUCUAGAGGAACUGCCCCGGUCAACGGGGAGGAAGGCGGGGAUGACGUCAAGUCAUCAUGCCCCUUACGUCCUGGGCUACACACGUGCUACAAUGGCCGGUACAAAGGGAUGCCACACCGCGAGGUAGAGCUAAACCCAAAAAGCCGGUCUAAGUUCAGAUUGGAGCCUGCAACUCGACUCUAUGAAGGAGGAAUCGCUAGUAAUCGC